This 424-nucleotide long non-coding RNA is filed under the name Hordeum vulgare. Its description in RNAcentral is "long non-coding RNA (HVUL_LNC017500)". Lineage: Eukaryota; Viridiplantae; Streptophyta; Magnoliopsida; Poales; Poaceae. The record is from RNAcentral.
CUCGAAGCAGUCAAUUCCAUCGAACUCCAGCGCGAAUCGUGGCCGUUGUGGCGACGUUGACUGUGAUUCCGCUUUGCGCCGGUAGAGCGCCAUGCUUCCAGUGUUGCUCUGCUCCGGGCUGGUCGUCGUGCGGCUUCCUCCCUCGCCAGGAGUAUCCAGACCAGCUGCUGCAGUCACCAGGGCAAGGGGCAAUGUCGACGGGCGACGCACUCAGGAUCGAGAAUGCCGGCACCUAGUCUGUACUCAAAUAGAGCUGGGAUAAUUCCUGCAGCAGCUCCGGUGGCUGAUGCUUUGGGCAUGGCGGUUUCUUCCGCUCGAGUAGUCCAGAAUAUUCGUGGCCGCGGUCACGGCACAGAACCAGCGAGACUGCGAGAGAGCUAGUGACGCAUGAGUGCUCAAUUACAUCUUCUUUUUCUUUUCUUUC